UCUAUAUUGACUUUAUAAAAGAUUAUUUCAUCUUAUAUAAUUUCUUUCCAAGUUGGUAUUUACUACUAUAUUGUCUCAUAUCUGUCACAUUCUUCAUUUGUUGUUUGCAAAAGCAUAGAUUUCUAGUCACUGACAGUGGCGUUAAAACUAAUGAUAAUAGCAAACAAUUACAUCUGGUUCUUACCUACCAUUUACUAGGCAUUGUUCUAAGCACUUUAAAGAGACUAACUUGUUAUAACAGUGGAUUCUCCAUUAUUGUCUUCAAUAUAUGAAGAAAUAGUACCACUCUUAGACCAAGGCAAGUAAGAUUUUCUGUACUGACCCCUAUGCCUUAGCAUGCUCUGCCCUGGGGUUUUCUUCAGCUGUCUCUCCCAAUGGACCAAAAGUCUAUGGGGCCAAGGUGCCUACUCAACUGGAUGGUCAAAAGAAAGCCAAAUAGUAGCUGCUUGUGAGAGUCAUAGAAGGAAUUCAGAUUCACUGGUCACUGGUAUAAAUGCUCAUUGUAGAGAAAAAUUGUGGUGGAGGAAAGGAGUGUGAGAUACUAACCAGUUUUCCUGGUGCCACCAUGUUCUGAUAUGAUACCCUAAGAAUUCUAUAUAUGAACUUUGUAUUUCUGGCAUGAUGGAAGAUAAAAGCGUGCUUGCUUGAUUUGUGGCAUUUAAAUGGAUAUAUGAUAUGUAGGCCUCUAUUCAUAUUCUGUCCCUAGGCUGCACAAAUGCUAGAAGUAGGCCUGUAAAUGGGGAAAAUGAGGUAUACUGAAUUUAAAUGAAACGUUCAGUUUCAUGCAGCAAAAAAGUGCUAGAGCUGUGAUAUGAACACCUCAUGCUAUGCUAUUGUUGUGGUUGAGUUAAAGGAAUAUGCAGAUAUGAUACUGGCAAGACCUUUCAGCCUCAUGCCUCAUCAUCCUCAAGGAAUAGGCCUGAAAGAUGAUCCAAGAUUUCUCUGCUACUGAGUGAGGCACAGCAUGAUGGCAUGUGCAGCCAUUGUCAUACUGCUUUCAAGGAGACCCAUAAUUUCCUGGAGUUUGACAGACAGGCCAGUGAGAAGCAAGGGGCAGGCAGAAUUAGAGACUAGCUCAAGCAGAGGAGAAACAUUUUCAGCCACCAGAAAAAUCAGGAUAUUGCAUAUUGGGAAAAAUUUGGUUGAAGGAAAAAUUAAGGGUUCCAUUACAAAAAACACAAGAAAAAGAAGUUAAAACACACUGGUAUUGUAUGAUUUACUUCAGUUUUGAAGUCCGAAAUGUAUUCAAAUCUUAGCUUCUCUAUUUGCUGAGUAACUUUGGCAAGUUAUUUAUGCUAACCAGGCCUUUGUUCUCUCAUUUGUAAAAGUGGGAAAGACAGAAAACCCAUGAAAAAUUACUAGCACAGUACCUGACCCAUAAAGACAGUAUAUAAACGGAGAUAUGAACAAUAACAGAAAUGCUAUCACUAAUGGGAAAAAUAGAAAUAAUAAUAAUAGAAUGAUAAUAGCUAAUGUUCAUAUAGAGUAUACUGAAUACCAGACACUCUGCUCAAUACUUUAUGUGUUUCAAUGCUUUAGUCCUCAUUACAAACCAAUGAGAGAGUUCUAUCAUUGCCAGUGCCCUUUCAAAAAUGAAGAAACUGAGGCAACAGCAGACUAAGUAACACCAAGAUGAUGCAUGACAGAAACAAGAUUUUAAACCAGGAGUCAGAAAACUUUCACUGUGAAGGACCAUACAUUAAGCAUAUUGGGGCUUGUGAGCCAUCAUCUGUUGGAGCUACUCCACUUUGACCUUGAAUGAUGCAUAAAUGAAGGGAAUUCCCACUAUGGUGCAGUGGAUUAAGGAUCCAGCAUUGCUCCUAUUAUGGCAUAGGUGGUAACUGCAGCUUGGAUUCCAUCCCUGGCUCAGAAGCUUCCGUGACACAAGUGUGGCCAUUAAAAAAAAUAAAAGAAAUUGUGGAUGAUAUAUUCAUGAACAUGACUAUGUUCAAUAGAACUUUAUGAAAACUAAAAUUAGAAUUGUAUGUAUUCUCAUAUGUCACGAAAUACUAUUUUUCUUUUGGCAUAUUUCCCAAUCAUCAGAUUGUAGGCCAUACAAAAAUAGACAGUGGUCUGAAUUUGACCCACAGGCCAUAAUUUGCUAUUCUCUAUCUAAAAAAACAGGCCCAAAGCAGGGAUGACUCCUGUCCUUGUCCAGGGGAGUUCAGCAUAUUGUCUAUUUAGCUUCAGGAUCUACUAUGAUAAAGAAGUGGCAGGGGAAGGGAAAAUCAAAAUCUCGAUAUUCCAAGAAUGUUUUUCAAGAUAAAGUCUCAUUUUAGUGAUGGAGAUGCUAUUUGGUUGGAGAGGUUUUUUUUUAUUUCUUUUAAUGGACACACUGGUUAUGCAAAAUUAAGACAUAGAUUGGAUGGGAGAAGAACUAACCCUUUUGCAUAAAAGUGCUCAUCUUGGGUGGAUGUUAUGCUCAGCCAAGGUAAACAGUACAACUUAGCCUAACCUUGUGGGGCCAAGGAGGAGGAAAGAAGGAACCAUAGAUAAUUUUUAGGUCUGAAACAGCAGUUGAUCAGCAAUAAAAAAUAAUGAGAAGUAAAAUAUCUGUCCAUCCCUUGCAUGUUUUUAUUGAUGCAAACCAAAUGAAGAUGUUCUGCUCACCAUCAAAAGAGACAUUCAUGAAGUUCUUGCAACAGGCAUUAAGUGUUAUGAUAGUUUUACAUACUGUAGAGAGCUUUUAUCCAUAAGAACAGUUAUAAGAUUUUUUUCCAAAUAUUAAAUGAGCACCUCCCUUUCUCUUGUAUAGAUGGGAAUCCCUUGUUAGUGGGUCCUAUGCUUGCAUAAAAUUAAGACCUAGACUAGGUGGGGAAGCCUGAUUAGUUCUAAGGACAGAACUAAGCCUGUUAUGAGUGGCCAGAGCUGCUAGUACCAGCCUGUCACUUUUCCCCACCCACCUGCUACUUCUCCCACCACCAGCUGCUGACUGAUCAUUUUAACCAUUGUUCCAUGUAUGAAAGUGGUCUCUCUUUUCUUUUUAAGGUGAAAGAAAAUAAGAAUGACAUCAACAAGAAAAAAAAGGAAAUAGAGAAGGAAACAGAGAAGUCAAAAAAUAAAACAAAAUAAAAACAAACAAAAUUUUAAGUCAUCCAUAUCCAUAGAGAAGUUUCCUUCACACCUGGUGUGCAAGGCUUAUACUUAGGGAUAAACUUCUGGUCAGGAUCUGGAUACAUUUAAGCAUGCACCUAAAGUACAGCUGGAGUCAUUUUUAACAACUUUCCUUUCUGAAUUUUUUUGAGAAAGUUCCGUUCUUCAAUUCAGAAAAAGCACAUUAUAUUUCACAUGUUACCCUAGAAGUCUUUUAUAUGGAAAAGUUUGUGAUUCACUGGAAAACUGUGCAUUAUCUAGAUCAUACCCUUUCAGCCUGUGUGAAUGAUUCUGUUUCUAGUGUAGCCAUAUUACAACUCUGUAAAUUGUGGUGAGUGAUAGCAGUGAAAAAUCAUUCUUGCCUAAAGACAAGCAUAUCCUAUCAACUGACUUCUGCCACCACCACCACCCUGGCCCAACAGAAGAGGUCAUUUUACCCCCAUUGGAAUAUUGCUUUCACUGUGUCUGAUCUAUACAUGUGCUAAGUGGAUGCUCUUUUGAAGUAGUUGCAACAUCUGACCAGUUCCCUCAUUAAGGAGUUGAAUAAAAUCUUUAACUCAUGUUCAUUUUGUAUCCAUGUAAGAAUCAUGAGUUUAUCUUUUUUUUGAAAAUUAUCCCUAGCGCUUUCUUCCAGUUUUCAGAUUAGGAGUUCACUCCUGGCAAGCAACUCUGUCACCAAUGUCACCUGCCAAGAUAAAUAGACAAUGUGUUUGCUUUUCUUAUUUCUACAGCUUAAUCUCAUUUGUAUACUUAUAUUAAACUUCAUGUUAACCUGCAUUGGAACUCUGGGGAGUGGACAAUGAUGGUGUCUUUCCAGAUUGGGAAAAUAUUUUUAAAUAGUCCCAAGGUACAAUGUUCUGCAUAACAGCAUAAAGGCAGCAAUUAUAGCACUCCUACGACACCUUUCCUUCUCUAUUACCUCCAGCUAAUAAGCUUUGCAGAAUCAAGGUUUGUUCUCCCCUGAGAGCAUGAAAUAAAAUGUUCCUAUAUUUCAUUCAGCCCAUCCCUCUUAAAAAUCAGCAAUAAAUAUCACACCUGUUUGGGGCUUUUGCAGGCAAAAAAAUUGACCAAAGAGACGAAGUUUUAGAAAGUGAAAACUGUACACUUCUAUGAGAACAGUAAUGCAAAAAAUGUUCUUUCUGCUUGACUGACUAGAAUGAAGCCUGAUGUAGAAAGAGCACAACUCUAUUACCUGAUGAUGGUUGCUCAGUAUAAUGCACUCUCUCCUGAAAUAGGUUUAAGAAGCUAAUAGAAUUUGUUGAUUAUAAUUAGGGCUGAUGGGAUCGGCAGAUGAGGUUUGGCACAAUAAGCCAUCUCUUUGAAUAAGGCAGGCUCUGCUGGCUGCUUCUUUGGACCUGAAUUGUGUCCACUUGAACUUAGGGCUGGUUAUCCCAAUCCAGAGGAUGGCAGCUCUUUUAAAUGCCACUUACUAUGUGCAGUUUCCUGGAUUAGUAUAUAUAUUACAACAUCCCAUUUUAUUAGGGUGUGGGGCUCCCAUUCCUGAUUAUUCUUCAUCAUUUAGUAAGCAUUAUCUGACCAGCAGUCUGCUUUAAAGUGCUGGCAGGGACAGAGAAGUAUACGCAUGACAGAACCUGACCUCAUCCAGCUGGAUAGAAAACUAACCAACCUAAGCAAUGAGAAAACAGUUGACUGUUCAUCUGGGAUACUAAUUUUAAGUAUCAUAGCCAUGCAAAGAAGAAUGGUAAUUAUAAAUUGCCUCAGAGAAAGAGUGAAACUAAACAUUGCAUGCUAUAAAAGUUAGAUAUUCUAGGUAGAUGAUACAGGGUGAGCAGAAUCACAAAGUUGAGAAUGGCAUGGCAUGUAUGGAAUUUAGGGUGGAGUGGACCUGACAGAUGUGAAGAAUGUAGUUUAUGGAGUGUUAGGAAGCAAGUCUGGUUUGGAGAGGGAGAAAAAUGGGGAUCUCGGAUGACCUGGAAAGAUGAGCAGAAGAGCCUGAAUUUCAUGUCAAAACCAACCAGGGCUAUUUUGGAAUUGGAAGUGGAGAAUAACAUAAUGAAAAUGGUGACUCAUAUGAGUUGAAAGGGAAAGUUCAUAAUGGUAGUAAACAAGGACAGUGAUUAGGGGCUCAAUUGGGGAUAGCACCGUUGGAAUAAAAAGAACAGAAAAUCUAGUACAUAUUUCAAAGGAAAUAGCAAUAAGACUUUAAUUAAUAGAAUAAGCAUUUCUUGAGUAUAUACAAGGCACUAUGAAGAGCACUACAGGAAAUCCUAAGAGGGACAAGGCUGUGCUUUAUGAGUUAUAAAUCUGGAAUGGAGGUUGCAGAUAUGUAACAGUGAAUAUAGUCCUGAGCAAUACAGGUCCAUACAUGCUUCUCAAAAGGUAUUAAAAAUAUUCAGAGAGGAUAGGCAUUUAUUUUAUCAUUUAUUUACCGAGACAAUUAGGUAAGGUUUCAUGAACACUCAUUAAACUAUGAAAAAUUAAGAUUAGGAAAAGCUAGGACCAUCAUGGGCAUGGCAUUCUUGAGAAAUAGAGGCAGAGUUAGAAUUUAGGGUGUAAGACUGGUUCAGAGAGAAUGGGAGGAAAGUAGAUAGACAAGAAAUGUGGGAGGUACAAAAUUUUGUAAGGUCUAAAUCUCAAGAAGAAAAUUUAGACUUUAUCGAGAAGCCUGUGAAGGAGUCAUAAAAGCUUUUCGAGCAGAGACAUUAAUUGAUUGAAUCCACGCAUGAUAACAAUAACCCUGACCAACUAUUAAGGAUGGAUUAUAGGAAGCAGCUGGAGGAGAGACUGGUGAUGAGGAGGUUGGCUUGAAGUAACAUUGGCUGGGAGCUAUAAAAAUAGUCACAAUAAAAUAAACACUUUAAAGAAUAACUGCAGAAUUAGAAUCUUAAAAGUCUGACUACUAAUUGGAUAUAAAAUUGAUUGGCAUCCAUUUAACUAGGGUUUUUUAUUUGGAUAAGGGAGUAAAUGGUAACGUCCUGGAUUAAAAUAAGGAAUAUUUCAAAGCAGGCUUGGGUCAUAUGAAAAUAAAUUCUAGUGUGGACAUACUGAGUUUGAAGGACUAAUAGGUCAUUGUUACGGACAUAUCCAAAGGGAACAUAAAAUAUUUGCUUGGAACCUAGAGGAAAAGUCAAAGCUAUACAUGGAGAAUGAGUUUCACCCACAUAAGUGUGCUAACAUUGAAUCUCUGGCCUUUAAUGGUAUUAUUUAGAAUGAGAACAUGGAAAAUAUGGGCUGAGGAUUGGAUCUUAGCCUAGGAAAUAAAAACAUUUAAUGGACAUAAAAAAGAGGAGAAAUAAUUUAGGGAGUUAAGAAUUAGGAAGAAAACCAAGAGUAGUGGUAUUAUUUAAGCAAGAUGUUGAUAUGCUUUCUAGAUGAAGCAGCUAGUUGUAUAUACUGAGGAAUAUCAUUGAAUAUAACAUUCAGGAAGGCAAUGGUGAUUUUAGCGGAAUGCAGUUUUAAGUAAACUUGUGAAGGGGAAAGUCAAAUUGUACCAGUGG
Molecule: long non-coding RNA, 6551 nt
Filed under: Sus scrofa (pig)
Lineage: Eukaryota; Metazoa; Chordata; Mammalia; Artiodactyla; Suidae
Description: lncRNA (ENSSSCG00000055648.1)
Source: RNAcentral